AGCGAACGCUGGCGGCAAGCUUAACACAUACAAGUCGAACGCCCAGCAAUGGGAGUGGCGGACGGGUGUAUAACACGUGGGAAUCUACCUUUCAGUACGGAAUAACUCAGGGAAACUUGUGCUAAUACCGUAUAAUGUCUCCGGACCAAAGAUUUAUCGCGGAAAGAUGAGCCCGCGGCAGAUUAGCUAGUUGGUGGGGUAAUGGCCUACCAAGGCAACGAUCUGUAGCUGGUCUGAGAGGAUGAUCAGCCACACUGGGACUGAGACACGGCCCAGACUCCUACGGGAGGCAGCAGUGGGGAAUAUUGGACAAUGGGCGCAAGCCUGAUCCAGCUAUGCCGCGUGAAUGAUGAAGGCCUUCGGGUUGUAAAGUUCUUUUAGGUGGGAAGAUUAUGACGGUACCACCAGAAAAAGCUCCGGCUAACUUCGUGCCAGCCGCCGCGGUAA
Molecule: ribosomal RNA, 447 nt
Filed under: uncultured bacterium
Lineage: Bacteria
Description: partial 16S ribosomal RNA
Rfam family: Bacterial small subunit ribosomal RNA
Source: RNAcentral